RNAcentral lists this ribosomal RNA (469 nucleotides) under uncultured Alphaproteobacteria bacterium. Its description in RNAcentral is "partial 16S ribosomal RNA". It matches the Rfam family "Bacterial small subunit ribosomal RNA", at positions 381 to 866 of the family's 1533-position model. Lineage: Bacteria; Pseudomonadati; Pseudomonadota; Alphaproteobacteria. The record is from RNAcentral.
GCCUGAUCCAKCCAUGCSGSGUGUGUGAUGAAGUSCCUUASKGUYGUAAAGCMCUUUCCCCWKARAKGAUAAUGACAGUAUCUGGUAAAGAAACCCCGGCUAACUCCGUGCCAGCAGCCGCGGUAAUAYGGAGUGGGGUUAGCGUUGUUCGGAAUUACUGGGCGUAAAGCGYACGUAGGCGGAUUAGUCAGUCAGAGGUGAAAUCCCAGGGCUCCACCCUGGAACUGCCUUUGAUACUGCUAGUCUUGAGUUCGAGAGAGGUGAGUGGAAUUCCGAGUGUAGAGGUGAAAUUCGUAGAUAUUCGGAGGAACACCAGUGGCGAAGGCGGCUCACUGGCUCGAUACUGACGCUGAGGUGCGAAAGUGUGGGGAGCAAACAGGAUUAGAUACCCUGGUAGUCCACACCGUAAACGAUGAAUGCCAGUCGUCGGGUAGUAUACUAUUCGGUGACACACCUAACGGAUUAAGCA